This is a long non-coding RNA of Schistocerca nitens (vagrant locust), 3249 nucleotides long. RefSeq lists it as uncharacterized. The transcript is spliced from 5 exons. The record is from RefSeq and is a predicted model, not a curated record. NCBI's taxonomy places the organism in Eukaryota, Metazoa, Arthropoda, Insecta, Orthoptera, Acrididae.
CGCGUAGUACAAGGAAAGUUACUAAGGAAUUCGAGCGACUAUGGAAAUAACUGUCAGAGACCGGUAUUCUCCUCUGGCAGUUAUCGUUAUUGGCUCGUAGUUCUAGUUCUCUGGCAGUUAUCGGGCUACCACCACAGGUAACCUGGAAGCUGGUAACGGAAUAACUGUGUGUGUAGACGUUCCUGACUCGGUGACUCCAGUUACAGGUCGUAGUUCCAGGUGAUAUUUCCAGAGAGGAUAGUAACUGGAGCGAACAAAUAUUUUCGUACUGCUACGGAAACGACGGUGGGCCAUCGGGGAGAGGGGAUGGCAAAUAACGGGAAUCUAUCGUCUCAUUUCUCUGCAAUUCUUGGUGUUCCGGAACAGGUGUCACUAUUUUUCCGGCCUUUGGUUGCGUUACAGGGUAUUGACUUUCGUUCCGCGUUCUUGUUUUUCUUUGUGUUGUUGAUAUUACUACCAAUAGUUGCCAACAUGAAGAGGUCGAGGACAAGCGAAAUGUGGUCAUAUUUCGAAACUCUUGAUCGAGAGUUUGCGAAUUGUACUUUGUGCGGUAAGAAAUUAUCGUACAAAUCGACGACGACGAAUUUAAAAAAACAUCUUCAGAAAUCACAUUUAAUUGUGAAUUUCUCUUCACAAAGGCCUUCGGAGCUAGAUUUGGGUGAAACCCUUCCUGUAGAGGUGAUCCUUGGCACCAGUAGUGUGGAAGAGGAGCGAGAGGCACACCAACACCAGCAGAUGAGUCUCCGUUUAAUACUUGGGAUAUUAUAACAGUAAGUUAUAGCUCCAGAAGUCAGUCACCAGCAGCAGAUGUCACACAGUUAUAAAAUAGGAAACUUGAAGAAUAAGCUCCAGAAGUCAGCAGCAGCAGCCGCCGUCACACAGCCAAAAUGCGAGAAGCUUGAAGAAUAAUGUGUUAUGGCUCCGAUACUCUUCGCAGCAAAGGUUACGCAGUCCUAUAGAGGCAAACUUGAAGUAUAAAGUAAUAAUGUUUUGCAUACAAUGGCAAACUUGACCUUUCGCUUAAAAUGGAGGUACAUUUGCACUGAGUUUAAUGUUAUGACACGUGAAUGGAUUACCAGUGAUGUAUAUGUAAAUACUGGAAUUUGUAACUUAGAACUUAAUUUCAGUAUCGGCUUUGAAAUUUGGUCACUGGAUACAACUAUAUUAUCUUUCAUGUUGAUAGCAGCAAUCAUCAGAUUGCAAUCCAGUUAAGUACCUGUGAGGCAUGAGAUGUCAAAAAUACUUGUGGGUUAUUGGUAGCCUGUGUCAAGGCAUGUGGCACCUCAAAGUUUGUAAGUACAGUAGCAUUUUGUUUUCUGCUUUACUUAAAAAUUGGUAGCUGUAGCACCCAUUCUGACAUUCAAUUAUUUUGAAUUUCAAGUUUCUUAGAAUGAUACUGACAUCAGUUUGUUAAUACUAAUCCGUAUAUUAUUGUUAAUAUAUGCUGCUAUUUUCACAUCUUGUGCUCAAUACUAAAUUUCAUUUGCAAAACACGGAAGUUUUCCUAUCUUUGUGGUGGAACACAACAAAUUCUCAUAAUUUUGCUAGUUUGUAUUCUAGAAAGGGUGCCAGAAAUGGAAGAGUAUAAUUUUUAUUAAAUUGGGCAUUAAAUGUAAGUAGGUUGGAGUACAGAAAGGGUGCAACUGGCCUUCCCCACUGUAGCCUGAUGUGCUCCAACAUGCAUUUGUACUGAUGUGCAGGUGGUUAUAACACUAGUAUCAAACUGCAUGGUACCCACUUACUAAUGUGACCUACCCUUCCAUGAUCUUCUGCAGACAGCAAGAAAUCCGCUACUGCUCUUACUACCUGUCCAACAGUUGUGGAGGAUUUUUUCCCCUUGGUGCUUGACAUGACAUGUUUUGCCCUCUGCCCUUAAAAUCUCAAUUCUUGUUACAUUUUUCAUCCAUUUUCUAUCUCCUGAUGGACCUGUAUUGAUUAAAAAACUAAUCACUGCAGAGGUGAUUGUAGAACUUUUGCUAGUGGCAGUGUGGAGGGGCUCCACUCUUUAAAAAAUAAAAUUACAUUGUAGGACAUGGAAUUAUUAUUAGAUGCUUUCAUGGACAUUUUGUUUACUGAAAAAGUCAGUCAUUAUCUGAGGUAUUUAAAUGUUAACUUCAAAUCUAAAACUGCAUCAAAAGAUAAAUUUCAGUAAGUCUUUAACAAGUUUCAGUAUCUUGCUUCACAUGCUGGACCCUCCAACUAUAAAAAACAGUGUUUUGCAGAGAACAGCUAUUCAGAUGUUAACAUCCCAGAAUUUGUGUAGAAGAUAUCCCUUACAUUGUUAGUUUCAUUGUGGUCACACUCUACAGUGUAGUGUUAUCAGCAUACAUAUAGAAGUUUGAAGAACAUAUUAAAUUAAUUGCUAGACAUGCCUUAAGUGAAUAUGUUUACUACUAAUAUGAGUCAGCUAAGUAGUUGCUGCAAGUUUUUAUGUUGUUUCUAAAGUGUCUUUAGACAAGGAUAUUUCUGCUGUUUGUUUCCUGUUCUUCUGUUUCAGAUAACUACUCAUAUGCAGCAACUGCUGAAGCAGCCACUGGCAGUUUAUUGAAGUUCCGUGAACAAAGUGUUGUGUGGUCUGUUUGUGUAAAGUGAUAAAGAAAAAUGUUAAAGUGUAAUUGCAUAUGUAAUUGUGUAUAUAUUUAAUCAUUAUUUUUGCUAGUUGUAAGAUCUAUUUUCAUGUAAAUCAGAACAUUGUAUAAUAGGUAACAACCGAAUGAGGCAGUGUAGCUAUUAACAGCACUGACCUCAUAUUCGGGAGGAUGGGGUUCGCACUGUCUGGCCAUCCUGGAUCGCUAAGGCAAAUGCCGGGAUGGUUCCUUCAAGGCCACGGCUGACCACCUGUCCCGCCCUUAAAGAGAUCAUUUAAACAUUGUGUGUAUACCUAUAUUUUGAAUUAUUGAUGUUUGUUGUAUUAUGUUGAGAUAUUCUUGGAUGAAAUAAAAAAAGUUUAUACACUUGUAUUUGUGGUCACAUGUUAAAUUACUGAGAAAAUUGCAGAGUGAUUAUGGCACCGAAUUUCCAUUCAGGUGCAUUGGGAUCCUUCACCUGUUUGAACAUCCUGAUUUACGUUUUAUUUGGGUUCCCUAAAUUCCUUUAGGCAAAUACUUUUGUUGGUUCCACUGAAUAGGCCAUGGCAGAUUACCUGCCAUGUCCAAUCUGAGUUUCUGCUCAGUCUCUUGACAUGUUAACUAUUUAUUCAUUCUCUUUAUAAUGCUGCAAUGUUUUAAGUGUUCCAUAUCAUUGUGAAAA